Molecule: long non-coding RNA, 1033 nt
Filed under: Hordeum vulgare
Lineage: Eukaryota; Viridiplantae; Streptophyta; Magnoliopsida; Poales; Poaceae
Description: long non-coding RNA (HVUL_LNC016022)
Source: RNAcentral
UGCUCGUGCCGUGUCCUCGUCCAUGCUGCCGGCGGCAGCGAUGCAGUCUGGCGUCGGUGCCGGCGGAGUUUCCUUCUAGGCUGCAGGUGGGCGGCCGCCUUCCUAGCUCCAGCCGUCGCGGCCCUCGUCAACCGCUGAAUCCAGUGGUCGGGAGUCACGGGAGAGAUGGUGAGCACACAGCUUGAGAAUGGAUGUUCUGGUGCGUGGUGUUGAGGGCGAUGACUACUUGGACCUGUUGACAGAGGCGUUCUGAUGCUUUCCUCUGUUUUUUCUUGUGCUACAUCUGAGGUUCAGUUGCUUUCCUCUCCAUUUCUGGUGACUUGGUUCUUUGAUGAAUAUCCCUGACGUGAGUUGUUAUAGACUAUCUCCAAUAUAGCAAUAGCAGGAUUGUGGUGCUUCAUGCUUUAAUUACUAGCAAAUCGAUGAACCUAUUUAUAUUUGUUUCCCAGCUGCACCAGCAAGUCGAUGAACCUAUUUAUAUACUAGCAAAUGGUACAUCGUUCGCAUGUGAGAAUUUACUCAAUUUGCUAACUGAUGAUAUGCUCCAUGCUCAGCUUCUAGGAUACAUGAUCCUUAGUUAUUAAAGAAAACUUAUUACAAUGACAAAAGCAGCAGAAAUUUUUACGUACGGGAAGCCGCAUCUUGCUGACUAAAAGUAGCAUGCGGCUGCACUGCUCAGGGAGACCAUUUGGCAGAGGCACAAUGCAAGGAUUGUUCUGGAAUAUACUGGAAAAGGCAUCGAUUACUGUAGACUGUAGAAGUAUAGAGAUUUAUAUACACGAAACAAAAGGAUUGUUUGUAGUACGUCUUAAUCAGGCGGACGUAGCGUCAAUGUGGAUUGCUCUGUAGAUUACACAAGCUAGCAUCUAGGAUCAAAAGAAGACCAUCAUAGAUAUUUUUCGGUCAUUUUUAAUGCCUACUUUAAGUAUUGUGUUUCCUUCGAUAUUUUUUCAAAUUAUGAUAUUGCUUACAGAAUGACACAAUGAUGAAUUCAACACAAGAUCCUGCUGGUAGGAGAUCGAGUACAAUACAA